UGGUGGGCAGUUUGACUGGGGCGGUCUCCUCCUAAAGAGUAACGGAGGAGUACGAAGGUGCGCUCAGACCGGUCGGAAAUCGGUCGCAGAGUAUAAAGGCAAAAGCGCGCUUGACUGCGAGACAGACACGUCGAGCAGGUACGAAAGUAGGUCUUAGUGAUCCGGUGGUUCUGUAUGGAAGGGCCAUCGCUCAACGGAUAAAAGGUACUCCGGGGAUAACAGGCUGAUACCGCCCAAGAGUUCAUAUCGACGGCGGUGUUUGGCACCUCGAUGUCGGCUCAUCACAUCCUGGGGCUGAAGCCGGUCCCAAGGGUAUGGCUGUUCGCCAUUUAAAGUGGUACGCGAGCUGGGUUUAGAACGUCGUGAGACAGUUCGGUCCCUAUCUGCCGUGGACGUUUGAGAUUUGAGAGGGGCUGCUCCUAGUACGAGAGGACCGGAGUGGACGAACCUCUGGUGUUCCGGUUGUCACGCCAGUGGCAUUGCCGGGUAGCUAUGUUCGGAAAAGAUAACCGCUGAAAGCAUCUAAGCGGGAAACUUGCCUCAAGAUGAGAUCUCACUGGGAACUUGAUUCCCCUGAAGGGCCGUCGAAGACUACGACGUUGAUAGGCUGGGUGUGUAAGCGUUGUGAGGCGUUGAGCUAACCAGUACUAAUUGCCCGUGAGGCUUGACCA
This 671-nucleotide ribosomal RNA is filed under the name Pseudomonas aeruginosa. Its description in RNAcentral is "partial 23S ribosomal RNA". It matches the Rfam family "Bacterial large subunit ribosomal RNA", at positions 2259 to 2925 of the family's 2925-position model. RNAcentral also lists the same sequence under 2 other names. Lineage: Bacteria; Pseudomonadati; Pseudomonadota; Gammaproteobacteria; Pseudomonadales; Pseudomonadaceae. The record is from RNAcentral.